Mus musculus (house mouse) is the source of this 778-nucleotide RNA transcript. It is a transcript of the gene named predicted gene 2837, with no coding region annotated. NCBI's taxonomy places the organism in Eukaryota, Metazoa, Chordata, Mammalia, Rodentia, Muridae. The transcript has a single exon. The record is from RefSeq and is marked validated.
CCAGGACCCAGGAAGCAGAAGGGCAGCAAAGCUGCAUAACAGGACAUGGAAAGUUCAAAGCUGACCAAGAAAAGAGCUGGUCGGAAGAGGCAGAGGAGCAGAUCUCCAGCCCUGCCCAAAAGGAACAUCGUGGGCUGCAGAAUUUCUCAUAAGUGGAAAGAAGGAGAUGAGUCUAUCACACAGUAAAAUGGAACUGUGCUGGAUCAGGUGCCAGUAAACCCUUUCCUGUACCUGGUUAAAUAUGAUGGGAUUGACUCUGUGCAUGCUCUGGAACUUUACAAAGAUAAGAGGGUAUUGUCCCUAAAAGUUAUCGCCAAGAGGGUGGUAUCAUCCGGAGUCACUGAUUCCAGCUUUGUUGAUGCCAUAGUGGGCAAAGAAGUUAAUCAUCUAUUUGAGGGUGAGCAUGGCUCUAAGGAAGAGUAGAGGGGGAUGGUCCUGAGCCAAGCGCCUAUCUUGGAUAACAGCUUUUAUAUUACUUAUGAGAGAGAUCCCAUAUUAUACACGUACCAGCUUCUGGAUGACUUUAAAGAGGGUGACCUACAAAUCAUGGAGGUGUUCAGUGAUCUCCCUUCUUUAGACAUCGACCUGGAACUUGUGGAUGGCCUGAUAGGAAAACACGUGGAAUACACCAAAGAUGACCGCUCCAAGAGGGAUGGCCUGAUCAUUAACCAGAUUGAAACCAAACCUAGAGUGUACCUCAUCAAGUAUGAAGAUGAUGUCCAUAUACAUGUCACUCACUUGGAGAAAGAGUUCUAAUUAUUUAUCACGGCAUUGUCAC